This 253-nucleotide ribosomal RNA is filed under the name uncultured bacterium. RNAcentral describes it as "partial 16S ribosomal RNA". It matches the Rfam family "Bacterial small subunit ribosomal RNA", at positions 524 to 776 of the family's 1533-position model. The record is from RNAcentral.
UACGUAGGGGGCUAGCGUUGUCCGGAAUCAUUGGGCGUAAAGCGCGCGUAGGCGGCCCGGUAAGUCCGCUGUGAAAGUCAAAGGCUCAACCUUUGAAUGUCAGCGGAUACUGCCGGGCUAGAGUCCGGAAGAGGCGAGUGGAAUUCCUGGUGUAGCGGUGGAAUGCGCAGAUAUCAGGAAGAACACCCGUGGCGAAAGCGGCUCUCUGGGACGGUACUGACGCUGAGACGCGAAAGCGUGGGGAGCGAACAGG